This 275-nucleotide ribosomal RNA is filed under the name uncultured bacterium. Its description in RNAcentral is "partial 16S ribosomal RNA". It matches the Rfam family "Bacterial small subunit ribosomal RNA", at positions 79 to 353 of the family's 1533-position model. The record is from RNAcentral.
CUAAGUUUGAUGGCGACCGGCGCACGGGUGAGUAGCACGUAUCCAACCUGCCGAUGACUCGGGGAUAGCCUUUCGAAAGAAAGAUUAAUACCCGAUGGCAUAGUUCUUCCGCAUGGUAGAACUAUUAAAGAAUUUCGGUCAUCGAUGGGGAUGCGUUCCAUUAGGUUGUUGGCGGGGUAACGGCCCACCAAGCCUUCGAUGGAUAGGGGUUCUGAGAGGAAGGUCCCCCACAUUGGAACUGAGACACGGUCCAAACUCCUACGGGAGGCAGCAUG